GCUCAGGACGAACGCGGGCGGCGUGCUUAACACCUGCAAGUCGAACGGAAAGGCCCUUCGGGGUACUCGAGUGGCGAACGGGUGAGUAACACGUGGGUGAUCUGCCCUGCACUUUGGGAUAAGCCUGGGAAACUGGGUCUAAUACCGAAUAUGACCACGCGCUUCAUGGUGUGUGGUGGAAAGCUUUUGCGGUGUGGGAUGGGCCCGCGGCCUAUCAGCUUGUUGGUGGGGUAAUGGCCUACCAAGGCGACGACGGGUAGCCGGCCUGAGAGGGUGACCGGCCACACUGGGACUGAGAUACGGCCCAGACUCCUACGGGAGGCAGCAGUGGGGAAUAUUGCACAAUGGGCGCAAGCCUGAUGCAGCGACGCCGCGUGAGGGAUGACGGCCUUCGGGUUGUAAACCUCUUUCAAUAGGGACGAAGCGCAAGUGACGGUACCUAUAGAAGAAGGACCGGCCAACUACGUGCCAGCAGCCGCGGUAAUACGUAGGGUCCGAGCGUUGUCCGGAAUUACUGGGCGUAAAGAGCUCGUAGGUGGUUUGUCGCGUUGUUCGUGAAAACUCACAGCUUAACUGUGGGCGUGCGGGCGAUACGGGCAGACUAGAGUACUGCAGGGGAGACUGGAAUUCCUGGUGUAGCGGUGGAAUGCGCAGAUAUCAGGAGGAACACCGGUGGCGAAGGCGGGUCUCUGGGCAGUAACUGACGCUGAGGAGCGAAAGCGUGGGGAGCGAACAGGAUUAGAUACCCUGGUAGUCCACGCCGUAAACGGUGGGUACUAGGUGUGGGUUUCCUUCCUUGGGAUCCGUGCCGUAGCUAACGCAUUAAGUACCCCGCCUGGGGAGUACGGCCGCAAGGCUAAAACUCAAAGGAAUUGACGGGGGCCCGCACAAGCGGCGGAGCAUGUGGAUUAAUUCGAUGCAACGCGAAGAACCUUACCUGGGUUUGACAUGCACAGGACGAC
RNAcentral lists this ribosomal RNA (962 nucleotides) under Mycolicibacterium fortuitum. RNAcentral's name for it is "bacterial SSU rRNA". It matches the Rfam family "Bacterial small subunit ribosomal RNA", at positions 22 to 999 of the family's 1533-position model. Lineage: Bacteria; Bacillati; Actinomycetota; Actinomycetes; Mycobacteriales; Mycobacteriaceae. The record is from RNAcentral.